GAUGAAGAACGUAGCGAAAUGCGAUAAGUAAUGUGAAUUGCAGAAUUCCGUGAAUCAUCGAAUCUUUGAACGCACAUUGCGCCCUCUGGUAUUCCGGGGGGCAUGCCUGUCCGAGCGUCAUUGCAACCCUCAAGCCCGGCUUGUGUGUUGGGCCCUCGUCCCCCGUGGACGUGCCCGAAAUGCAGUGGCGGCGUCGUGUUCCGGUGCCCGAGCGUAUGGGGCUUUGUCACCCGCUCUUGGAGGCCCGGCCGGCGCUGGCCGAUCAACUUCUAGGCCUUGUGCCUUAACCAGGUCGACCUCGGAUCAGGUAGGGAUACCCGCUGAACUUAAGCAUAUCAAUAAGCGGAGGA
This 350-nucleotide unclassified non-coding RNA is filed under the name soil metagenome. RNAcentral's name for it is "partial contains 5.8S ribosomal RNA, internal transcribed spacer 2, and large subunit ribosomal RNA". The stretch from base 1 to 120 matches the Rfam family "5.8S ribosomal RNA", at positions 35 to 154 of the family's 154-position model. The record is from RNAcentral.